RNAcentral lists this small nuclear RNA (107 nucleotides) under Charadrius vociferus (killdeer). The record is from RNAcentral. Lineage: Eukaryota; Metazoa; Chordata; Aves; Charadriiformes; Charadriidae.
GUGCUCGUUUUGGCAGCACAUGUACUAAAAUUGGAAGGAUACAGAGAAGAUUAGCAUGGCCAUUGCACAAGGAUGACAUGCAAAUUUGUGAAACGUUCCAUAUUUUU